This 1731-nucleotide ribosomal RNA is filed under the name Sediminibacillus massiliensis. RNAcentral describes it as "bacterial LSU rRNA". It matches the Rfam family "Bacterial large subunit ribosomal RNA", at positions 1186 to 2925 of the family's 2925-position model. The record is from RNAcentral. Lineage: Bacteria; Bacillati; Bacillota; Bacilli; Caryophanales; Bacillaceae.
ANGUAUCACCGAAGCUGCGGAUUGUUCUUGCGAACAAUGGUAGGAGAGCGUUCUAAGUGCAGCGAAGUCAGACCGUGAGGACUGGUGGAGCGCUUAGAAGUGAGAAUGCCGGUAUGAGUAGCGAAAAAAGAGUGAGAAUCUCUUUCACCGAAAGCCUAAGGUUUCCUGAGGAAGGCUCGUCCGCUCAGGGUUAGUCGGGACCUAAGCCGAGGCCGAAAGGCGUAGGCGAUGGACAACAGGUGGAUAUUCCUGUACCACCUCCUUUCCGUUUGAACGACGGGGGGACGCAGGAGGAUAAGGAGAGCGCACGAUUGGAAAUGUGCGUCCAAGCAGUAAGAGAGUUGGAAUAGGCAAAUCCGUCCAACAAUCUCAAGCUGUGACGGGGAGGGAACAUAAGUACCGAAGCUCCGGAUUUCAUACUGCCAAGAAAAGCCUCUAGUGAGGAAAGAGGUGCCCGUACCGCAAACCGACACAGGUAGGCGAGGAGAGAAUCCUAAGGUGAGCGGGAGAACUCUCGUUAAGGAACUCGGCAAAAUGACCCCGUAACUUCGGGAGAAGGGGUGCUUCUUUUGCGAGAAGCCGCAGUGAAAAGGCCCAAGCGACUGUUUAGCAAAAACACAGGUCUCUGCGAAGCCGUAAGGCGAAGUAUAGGGGCUGACACCUGCCCGGUGCUGGAAGGUUAAGGGGACGCGUUAGCCGCAAGGCGAAGCGUUGAACCGAAGCCCCAGUAAACGGCGGCCGUAACUAUAACGGUCCUAAGGUAGCGAAAUUCCUUGUCGGGUAAGUUCCGACCCGCACGAAAGGUGCAACGACUUGGGCACUGUCUCAACGAGAGACCCGGUGAAAUUAUACUAUGCGUGAAGAUGCGCAUUACCCGCGACAGGACGGAAAGACCCCGUGGAGCUUUACUGUAGCCUGAUAUUGCAUGUUGGUACAGCUUGUACAGGAUAGGUGGGAGCCUUAGAAGCCGGAGCGCUAGCUUCGGUGGAGGCGUCGGUGGGAUACCACCCUGGCUGUACGGACAUUCUAACCCAGGACCGUGAUCCGGUCCGGAGACAGUGUCAGGUGGGCAGUUUGACUGGGGCGGUCGCCUCCUAAAGAGUAACGGAGGCGCCCAAAGGUUCCCUCAGAAUGGUUGGAAAUCAUUCGCAGAGUGUAAAGGCAGAAGGGAGCUUGACUGCGAGACCUACAAGUCGAGCAGGGACGAAAGUCGGGCUUAGUGAUCCGGCGGUGCCGUAUGGAAGGGCCGUCGCUCAACGGAUAAAAGCUACCCCGGGGAUAACAGGCUUAUCUCCCCCAAGAGUCCACAUCGACGGGGAGGUUUGGCACCUCGAUGUCGGCUCAUCGCAUCCUGGGGCUGUAGUCGGUCCCAAGGGUUGGGCUGUUCGCCCAUUAAAGCGGUACGCGAGCUGGGUUCAGAACGUCGUGAGACAGUUCGGUCCCUAUCCGUCGUGGGCGUUGGAAGUUUGAGAGGAGCUGUCCUUAGUACGAGAGGACCGGGAUGGACACACCGCUGGUGUACCAGUUGUUCCGCCAGGAGCAUAGCUGGGUAGCUACGUGUGGAAGGGAUAAGUGCUGAAAGCAUCUAAGCAUGAAGCCCCCCUCUAGAUGAGACUUCCCAUCAUUUUAAAUGAGUAAGAUCCCUCAGAGACGAUGAGGUUGAUAGGUCCGAGGUGGAAGCGUGGUGACACGUGCAGCUGACGGAUACUAAUCGAUCGAGGACUUAACUAU